CCGCCGCAACGCUAUUUAUAGCCGGCAAACCGGAGCUCGUCUCCUCUUCCAUUCCACGGUACAGCAGAGCACGGUGCCCAAGAGCCGCCACCUCUGAACUCAACGCCGAUCGGCCGGAGACUCACCACCAUGAGCGAUCGGAGGUACGGGUACCCGCCACCCCAGGGGUAUUACAACAAUGGGCCGCCGGUGAUGGCGCCGCCGCAGUACCAGUACGCAGCUCCGCCGCCGAGGCGGGAGCCGAGCUUCCUCGAAGGAUGCCUUGCUGCCCUGUGCUGCUGCUGCCUCAUAGACGAGUGCUGCUGCGACCCGUCGGUCAUAUUCGUGAGCUGAUCCGACCACAGCAUAUGCUUCCGUCCCAGCCCAGAGAUACAUCAUAGUACAUAUCUGCAUGUACAGCCCAAAAAUACGUGUGUGCGCGUGUGUUCGCCCUUUGUUGGUGAUGAUGUUUUCAGCCUAUAUAUAGUAGUUCAUCGCAAGUCCCCCGGUUAGUUCUAAGCCUCAGGAUCGGACAGACGAUGGACAUGGUCUGAUGCAGAUGUUGCUCGUGCAUCCGAUCCGGCAUAUGUUUACUACUGCUCAUGUUGUUGUUGUUGUUGUUUUGAAACUACUGCUCAUGUUGUUUGAACACAACACGAUACGCAUGUGUGCCAACUACUGGCUGUUUUAUUAGAGUUGGGCCCUCCAGCAUAGACGACAUUGGGCAAGAAAGGCCCAGUUCUAUUCUAGUCGAGCCCAACAUGUCCCGGCCCGCUCUGUACCUUAGAUCUGGGCAGUCGGGUUGGGCUGUUUGUUGGUUUCGGGUCUCUCUCGAUUAAUAAGUCAUCCAUAUUAAUACAGUAACGAUCAUAGCGAUCU
Long non-coding RNA from Setaria italica (foxtail millet), 858 nucleotides. RefSeq lists it as uncharacterized. The transcript has 3 exons. The record is from RefSeq and is a predicted model, not a curated record. NCBI's taxonomy places the organism in Eukaryota, Viridiplantae, Streptophyta, Magnoliopsida, Poales, Poaceae.